Molecule: long non-coding RNA, 1142 nt
Organism: Lathyrus oleraceus (garden pea)
Lineage: Eukaryota; Viridiplantae; Streptophyta; Magnoliopsida; Fabales; Fabaceae
Exons: 2
Source: RefSeq, a predicted model, not a curated record
AUAAUAAAGUGUUUUUAAUAGGUAUGUGUAUUUUGUUUUUCACCAUUAAAUUUUUAUAUUGUAUAAUGUAUAUACUUAUUAUCCAUUUUUUAUUACUUUUUCAUGAACAUGUAGGAAACAAAGAGAGUUUGAAGGUGGAGGGGGAAGUCGGGUAUGAUGAUCUUUACGACCAAGUCUUGGAGUUCUACCGUAGUAAAUACUGUAGAAAGGUGAUGAAGUUAGUUGAUAUAGGAGGAGGUAGGUUUUUAUACUAGAUCUAUUAAAGUUUCAUUCUUACCAAUUCAUCACGUUGUAUAUUUAAAAUUAUCAUAUUUAGUACAUAAUGAACAUAUAUAUUGUCCUUACUAAGCUUCUUGUAUACAGAGCCUAUUCAAAUUCUUCAAGGUUGGGUUGAAAGUUUUUUCAACUCUAUUAAAAAGUGUGACGUGAAAUAGUUUCGAAAACAAGUAUACAGAGCCUAUUUAUAAUUUUUUUUUAAAAUUAUCAAUUUGAUGAUUUUUUUUUGAACCGUACGAUUUUAUAAUAAUCGGCUCCGGUUAUUUGGUUCGAAUGGUUUUGGAAGGUUCAAUCCGUUUUUUUUUGUUUUACUCCGAUUUUGACCCAUUAACGAUUUUGAAAGGUUGACCAAACCAGAUUUAUCUCCGAUUCCUGGUCCAACCGGUUGAACCGGCUGAUUCGGUCUGGUUUUUAAAACACUGUCUAAAAUGAAAAUUUGAAUUUAAAAAUAAAAUAAAAGAUGUUUAAAUGCAUCUUUUUAAUAAUUUAAAAUAUUCUUUUAUAUUUUUUUGUCUAUCACUCUUUGCUUAUCCCCUUUGUUUUAAGAAAGACAAAAUGAUUCGGCAUAUAUUCUUAAUCAAUUUAGAUGCCACCCAUCAAAACCAGGCCACCAAUAUAAUAAAGUGUUUUUAAUAGGAAACAAAGAGAGUUUGAAGGUGGAGCGGGAAGUCGGGUAUGAUGAUCUUUACGACCAAGUCUUGGAGUUCUACCGUAGUAAAUACUGCAGAAAGGUGAUGAAGUUAGUAGAUAUAGGAGGAGGUAGGUUUUUAUACUAGAUCUAUUAAAGUUUCAUUCUUACCAAUUCAUCAUGUUGUAUAUUUAAAAUUAUCAUAUUUAGUACAUAAUGAACAUAUAUAUUGUCCUUA